UACGUAGGUGGCGAGCGUUAUCCGGAAUUAUUGGGUUUAAAGGGUGCGUAGGCGGUUCAGUAAGUUAGAGGUGAAGUCCCGUGGCUCAACCACGGACCUGCCUCUGAUACUGCUGGGCUAGAGAUUGGUUGCUGUGGGCGGAAUGUGUGGUGUAGCGGUGAAAUGCUUAGAGAUCGGGAGGAAUACCAGUGGCGAAGGCGGCCUUCUGGACUGACACUGACGCUGAGGUGCGAAAGCGUGGGUAGCAAACAGGAUUAGAUACCCU
Molecule: ribosomal RNA, 265 nt
Filed under: uncultured prokaryote
Description: partial 16S ribosomal RNA
Rfam family: Bacterial small subunit ribosomal RNA
Source: RNAcentral